GCCACGUCGUAAUAUGUAACUUGUUACAGGUUUGCUCCAAUACUUACCUGGCGUAGAGGUUAUGUUCCCCACGUGCUUGCAGUGUGCCCAGACACACGCUUCUACAUAUUGAAUUUUAUUUUUUAAAUUUAAGAAUUACAAAUUCCUGGGAAAUUAAAAAUAAAGUGUCCAAAACUGUGGAAUUCGCUCUUAGGAUCAAUGUGUUGUAACUCCUCAACCCAGCAGAAAACGCUGAUAAAGGACUUCCUGUCUGUACAUUAACCCUCUAGGAUCAGUGAGGCAUUCUUAAAUCUCAAGGAUGGGGGAAUAUAUGUAUGUAGAAACCCAACCCCAUCGAUAUGUGGCGUGGCGACGGACAAAUUGGAUUGGAAUGGCUGGGUAAAUAAGUGUAAGCGACUUUUUCUUUAUUUGCAUUAGAACUAACCCAUCAAAUUGCAUUCCAAUUGGUCAAAGACCAUUCAGUAAGCGCUUGGUCAGCGCUUGAGCAUACAAUACAAAUAUUAC
RNAcentral lists this long non-coding RNA (504 nucleotides) under Drosophila guanche. The record is from RNAcentral. Lineage: Eukaryota; Metazoa; Arthropoda; Insecta; Diptera; Drosophilidae.